GGAGUCUAACAUGUGCGCGAGUCGAAGGGUACAACUAAACCCUAAGGCAAAGUGAAAGCAAGGAGGGGUUCGGCCUCCGGCGCUCCUUCGCGGGAGGCCAGUCGGAACGUCGAACCCGCUCCAGGGAGGAUGGCGCGAGGACCUCGGUCCGCGCCCGCACUCCCGGGGCGCCCGGGACCUCGGUUCGGGGCGCACUCGGAGCGUACACGUUGGGACCCGAAAGAUGGUGAACUAUGCCUGACCAGGACGAAGUCAGGGGAAACCCUGAUGGAGGUCCGCAGCGAUUCUGACGUGCAAAUCGAUCGUCAGAGUUGGGUAUGGGGGCGAAAGACUAAUCGAACCAUCUAGUAGCUGGUUCCCUCCGAAGUUUCCCUCAGGAUAGCUGGCGCUCAUUUCGAACGCAGAGUCUCAUCCGGUAAAGCGAAUGAUUAGAGGCCUUGGGGCCGAAACGACCUCAACCUAUUCUCAAACUUUAAAUGGGUGAGAACUCCGGCUUGCUCGGACUUUCAAUCAAACAUUGAAGCCGAGAGGUUGGAUCACGAGUGCCUAGUGGGCCAUUUUUGGUAAGCAGAACUGGCGCUGCGGGAUGAACCGAACGCCGGG
RNAcentral lists this ribosomal RNA (603 nucleotides) under Euthlastoblatta sp. 2 DJGI-2006. RNAcentral's name for it is "eukaryotic LSU rRNA". It matches the Rfam family "Eukaryotic large subunit ribosomal RNA", at positions 670 to 1179 of the family's 3401-position model. The record is from RNAcentral. Lineage: Eukaryota; Metazoa; Arthropoda; Insecta; Blattodea; Pseudophyllodromiidae.